GGGGACAGAGCUCAGUUGGUAGAGCGCUUGCCUUAUAUGCAUAAGUCCCUGGGUGUCUCUG
Molecule: transfer RNA, 61 nt
Filed under: Ictidomys tridecemlineatus (thirteen-lined ground squirrel)
Lineage: Eukaryota; Metazoa; Chordata; Mammalia; Rodentia; Sciuridae
Description: Spermophilus tridecemlineatus (thirteen-lined ground squirrel) tRNA
Rfam family: tRNA
About the family: Transfer RNA (tRNA) molecules are approximately 80 nucleotides in length. Their secondary structure includes four short double-helical elements and three loops (D, anti-codon, and T loops). Further hydrogen bonds mediate the characteristic L-shaped molecular structure. tRNAs have two regions of fundamental functional importance: the anti-codon, which is responsible for specific mRNA codon recognition, and the 3' end, to which the tRNAs corresponding amino acid is attached (by aminoacyl-tRNA synthetases). tRNAs cope with the degeneracy of the genetic code in two manners: having more than one tRNA (with a specific anti-codon) for a particular amino acid; and 'wobble' base-pairing, i.e. permitting non-standard base-pairing at the 3rd anti-codon position.
Source: Rfam by way of RNAcentral